RNAcentral lists this small RNA (29 nucleotides) under Bombyx mori (domestic silkworm). Its description in RNAcentral is "ovarian small RNA-36984". Lineage: Eukaryota; Metazoa; Arthropoda; Insecta; Lepidoptera; Bombycidae. The record is from RNAcentral.
UUCAAUGCUCUUCAAGUAGAAUGUAGUGA